Long non-coding RNA from Labeo rohita (rohu), 392 nucleotides. RefSeq lists it as uncharacterized. The transcript has 3 exons. Lineage: Eukaryota; Metazoa; Chordata; Actinopteri; Cypriniformes; Cyprinidae. The record is from RefSeq and is a predicted model, not a curated record.
CUCGGCCUCUUCUGGGUGCAGCUCUGACUAACCAGCAGGAGAAGGGCUGGAUCGCUGAAGGAUGGGGAAUUUAUGCAAUCGCAGCGGAGAAGAGAGGACAAGACAAACUCCUCCAGUUCCUCAUUGAUGCUGUUUGGACUCUCAUUCUGACGGCACCCAUUCACUGCAGAGGAUCCAUUAGUGAGCAAAUGAUGCAAUGCUACAUUUCUCCAAAUUUGAUGAAGAAACAAACUCAUCUACAUCUUGGAUGGCCUGGAGGCUGACUUUGUUAGUCCAGACCUCUAGAAUCACGUCGGCACUGGACGCUCGAUAAGAAUCAAUGAGAAGCGGAAUCUGUGAAAGAGCCUCCUCAACAGUAUCAACUCCCUCAUCUCCCAAAGUAAAGCUCACCA